GCUCUUAGCGCUUCUUUGGCAAAGGCUACUCGCUCGCGGUAGAGCUGUCUUUGCUAGCUUUAUUGCUGGCUCUAAGCCUACCUCCUUGACUACAUCCUGAUAACCGCCUGCCUGCCUUGACAGAAGAAGCAGUGCAGUAAGCGUCUCCGGACAUAUAAAGUAGGCAAUCAUCGGUCUAGGUUUCAGUCGUAGUUUCUGGUAUUGAAG
Molecule: long non-coding RNA, 207 nt
Filed under: Amborella trichopoda
Lineage: Eukaryota; Viridiplantae; Streptophyta; Magnoliopsida; Amborellales; Amborellaceae
Description: long non-coding RNA (ATRI_LNC004979)
Source: RNAcentral